Molecule: unclassified non-coding RNA, 182 nt
Filed under: soil metagenome
Description: partial internal transcribed spacer 1
Source: RNAcentral
CCGAGUUUACAACUCCCAAACCCAAUGUGAACGUUACCAAACUGUUGCCUCGGCGGGGUCACGCCCCGGGUGCGUAAAAGCCCCGGAACCAGGCGCCCGCCGGAGGAACCAACCAAACUCUUUCUGUAGUCCCCUCGCGGACGUAUUUCUUACAGCUCUGAGCAAAAAUUCAAAAUGAGUCA